GGGCGAUUAACUCAGUUGGUCAGAGUGCCAUCUUCACACGGUGGAAGUCGGCAGUUCAAAUCUGCCAUCGCCCACCA
Molecule: transfer RNA, 77 nt
Filed under: Pseudodesulfovibrio profundus
Lineage: Bacteria; Pseudomonadati; Thermodesulfobacteriota; Desulfovibrionia; Desulfovibrionales; Desulfovibrionaceae
Description: tRNA-Val
Rfam family: tRNA
About the family: Transfer RNA (tRNA) molecules are approximately 80 nucleotides in length. Their secondary structure includes four short double-helical elements and three loops (D, anti-codon, and T loops).
Source: RNAcentral